AUUGAACGCUGGCGGCAGGCCUAACACGUGCAAGUCGAGCGGAUGAAGGGAGCUUGCUCCUGGAUUCAGCGGCGGACGGGUGAGUAAUGCCUAGGAAUCUGCCUGGUAGUGGGGGAUAACGUCCGGAAACGGGCGCUAAUACCGCAUACGUCCUGAGGGGGAAAGUGGGGGAUCUUCGGACCUCACGCUAUCAGAUGAGCCUAGGUCGGAUUAGCUAGUUGGUGGGGUAAAGGCCUACCAAGGCGACGAUCCGUAACUGGUCUGAGAGGAUGAUCAGUCACACUGGAACUGAGACACGGUCCAGACUCCUACGGGAGGCAGCAGUGGGGAAUAUUGGACAAUGGGCGAAAGCCUGAUCCAGCCAUGCCGCGUGUGUGAAGAAGGUCUUCGGAUUGUAAAGCACUUUAAGUUGGGAGGAAGGGCAGUAAGUUAAUACCUUGCUGUUUUGACGUUACCAACAGAAUAAGCACCGGCUAACUUCGUG
RNAcentral lists this ribosomal RNA (484 nucleotides) under uncultured bacterium. Its description in RNAcentral is "partial 16S ribosomal RNA". It matches the Rfam family "Bacterial small subunit ribosomal RNA", at positions 30 to 507 of the family's 1533-position model. The record is from RNAcentral.